GAGUUUGAUCAUGGCUCAGGGUGAACGCUGGCGAUGUGCCUAAGACAUGCAAGUCGAGCGGGACUUGUUUUCUACACUAAGGAACUCCUUCCAAUGUAGGGGUUCUUUAAUGUAGAUUUCAAGUUCAGCGGCGAACGGGUGAGUAAUAAGUACGAACGUACUCCAAAGAGGGACAUAGCCCCGCGAAAGCGGGGGUAAUCUCCCAUAUUCCCGCAAGGGGAAAGACGCAAGUCGCUUUGGAAGCGGCGUGCUCGCUACCAGCUUGUUGGUGAGGUAAAAGCUCACCAAGGCUAUGACGGCUACCGGCUCUUAGCGGAGGGUCCGGCACAAUGGGACUGAGACACGGCCCAUACACCUACGGGUGGCAGCAGUUAGGAAUCUUGCGCAAUGGACGAAAGUCUGACGCAGCGACAUCGCGUGUGGGAUGACGGCCUUCGGGUUGUAAACCACUUUUUUUUGACCCUAAAGUCAGAAGAAUAAGCAACUACUAACUACGUGCCAGCAGCCGCGGUA
This 513-nucleotide ribosomal RNA is filed under the name uncultured bacterium. RNAcentral's name for it is "bacterial SSU rRNA". It matches the Rfam family "Bacterial small subunit ribosomal RNA", at positions 9 to 522 of the family's 1533-position model. The record is from RNAcentral.